GAUGAACGCUGGCGGCGUGCUUAACACAUGCAAGUCGAACGAAGACAUCUGAGUGCUUGCACUUGGAUGGACUGAGUGGCGGACGGGUGAGUAACGCGUGGGUAACCUGCCUUAUACAGGGGGAUAACAGUUGGAAACGACUGCUAAUACCGCAUAAGCGCACGGUAUCGCAUGAUACAGUGUGAAAAACUCCGGUGGUAUAAGAUGGACCCGCGUCUGAUUAGCUUGUUGGUGAGGUAACGGCCCACCAAGGCGACGAUCAGUAGCCGGCCUGAGAGGGUGAACGGCCACAUUGGGACUGAGACACGGCCCAAAACUCCUACGGGAGGCAGCAGUGGGGAAUAUUGCACAAUGGGGGAAACCCUGAUGCAGCGACGCCGCGUGAGUGAUGAAGUAUUUCGGUAUGUAAAACUCUAUCAGCAGGGAAGGUAAUGACGGUACCUGACUAAGAAGCACCGGCUAAAUACGUGCCAGCAGCCGCGGU
Molecule: ribosomal RNA, 484 nt
Filed under: uncultured bacterium
Lineage: Bacteria
Description: bacterial SSU rRNA
Rfam family: Bacterial small subunit ribosomal RNA
Source: RNAcentral